UACGUAGGGCGCAAGCGUUGUCCGGAAUUAUUGGGCGUAAAGAGCUCGUAGGCGGCUUGUCACGUCGGGUGUGAAAGACCGGGGCUUAACCCCGGUUCUGCAUUCGAUACGGGCUAGCUAGAGUGUGGUAGGGGAGAUCGGAAUUCCUGGUGUAGCGGUGAAAUGCGCAGAUAUCAGGAGGAACACCGGUGGCGAAGGCGGAUCUCUGGGCCAUUACUGACGCUGAGGAGCGAAAGCGUGGGGAGCAAACGGG
RNAcentral lists this ribosomal RNA (253 nucleotides) under uncultured bacterium. Its description in RNAcentral is "partial 16S ribosomal RNA". It matches the Rfam family "Bacterial small subunit ribosomal RNA", at positions 524 to 776 of the family's 1533-position model. The record is from RNAcentral.